CAACUGUCAUUGGCUGUAUUUCUUGGUUUCUCAUCGACGUCAACUUUAUUGGCUUCGUAUAUUCAGUGAAUCAUUUCAUAUAAUUCUGAACAAUGGAUGAUUUCGGCGACAAUUUCGUACAACCCGAAGUCGACCCAGCCGCAGACUUCUUGGCUCGAGAGCAAAACCAACUGGCAGGACUAGAAGAUGAGCUAGAAACCAGUGCUCCGCCCCCUAUUGCGUCGAGUAUAGCUUCCAACGGUCUUGAUGAUUUUGUUGAAGUACCAAGUGCAGCAGCAUUUGAAGCCAAUGGUCUGCUCGAUGACGAUCCAGCCCCUGCACCAGCUCCAACUGCUCCAGCAGUCUCCGUAUUCAGACAAGAAAGGGAAGAACCUGAGAAGAUUAAGAUAUGGAGAGAGGAACAGAAGCAGAGACUGGAAGAGAAAGAUGCUGAGGAAGAGAGAAAGAAGCAAGAAAUGUUGAAGGUAGCUAAAAAGGAAUUAGAGGAUUGGUACAAAACACAUGAGGAGCAAAUUGCUAAAACUAAGGCAGCUAACAGGGAGUCUGCUAAAAACGCAGAGAAAGCUCUAGCCCGUGGAUCUGAGAGUACCGUUGAAGAGGGUAACGAGUGGGCUCGCGUGGCGGAACUCUGCGACUUUGGGCCGAGGCGCGGCCGCGAUGUGGCUCGUCUCAGAUCCAUUGUACUCCAGUUGAAGCAGUCGGGAGUCAGCCCUAAGUACCCCCCGCGGGCAACUAAAGUGUAAGUAAAUCAUAUAGGUAUGGUAAAAUAAAAAUGUGUGGGAGUUUUCACAGCUUAUGGAUAUGUUCUGUGUAGCUUAACUGUCAGUUAAAAGAGCAAUAAUGUUUGGAAAUAUAUUAUUAUGAAAAGAGUGCCAAAUACUAUCAGAACAUAAUCCUUAGUGUGCUUAUGUCAUGUUUCUGACUUGAUUUUAACAAUUAAUUUAAAAAAAUACACAAAAACUUUAGUAAACUGUAUGAAGUACAUUUAAACUUAACUGGCCUUAGAUUAGACAAAUCUAAAUGUAUUGAAAUCUUACUUUAAUUGCAGUUUUAAAAUGUAGUUCAUUGAUCUUCUAUACUAUAAAAAUGAAUCACAAAAUGUGUUAAGCGCAUAACUCGAGAACGGCUGAACCGAUUUCGUUAAUUCUUUUUAUGUAAUAUUCCUUGAAGUACCAGGAUGGUUCUUAUGGAGAGAAAACGUAAACAUGUACCACGGGCGAAGCCGGGGCGGACCGCUAGUGUUACUAUAAAUAUGUAUUAACAAUUAAUUGUCUUCUAAGGGUUACCAGCUGAUCGAGUCAAAGGUCAAAAGAAAAUAAACUACUAAAAUGUAAUAAGCAUGUUUUAAUAACAAUGUUUUCUCUUGUUACAGAGCUUGAAGAUUUUUA
This is an RNA transcript of Colias croceus (clouded yellow), 1388 nucleotides long. It is a transcript of the gene named clathrin light chain, with no coding region annotated. NCBI's taxonomy places the organism in Eukaryota, Metazoa, Arthropoda, Insecta, Lepidoptera, Pieridae. The record is from RefSeq and is a predicted model, not a curated record. The transcript has 6 exons.